This is a long non-coding RNA of Glycine soja, 614 nucleotides long. RefSeq lists it as uncharacterized. Lineage: Eukaryota; Viridiplantae; Streptophyta; Magnoliopsida; Fabales; Fabaceae. The record is from RefSeq and is a predicted model, not a curated record. The transcript is spliced from 2 exons.
CCCAACUUAUCAUGGCCUAUCACCAAACCCUAAUUUCAUAUAUGUCUCUCCCAAAACGACGCCCCUCUCACUCCUAUGCCUAUCUCCAUUUUACUUAACAGAUCACCAUCAACUCCAUCCUAACCUCUGCUCGAUUACUUCCUCUUUCUUCAUGCAAACUCUUCCAUGCACAUCAGGCUCAAAGGUUCCCUCAAAGAUGCAAAUGGCAAUGAACCCAAAAUGGAAGGAGCUAUGACUAGGACAAACCAAACAGGAUAAUCUUGUUCAGUGUUAUAAAACUCGGACUGGUCCAUCCGGCAUUGGAUUUCACUAGUUUAAUCCAAUUUAAUGACAUCACAGCCGGGUUGCUUAUAUUGUCGAUCCAACAAGUAGGUCGGUUCGGUCACAUGCCCGAUUUUCGGAUUAACCAGCUGGGUCGAGUCAAGCUGAAUUUUAUAAUACUUGUCUUGUUAUCUAUCUUUUUUGACAUGUUCGAGAUUGGCAAGGUUUGUUGUUGGAUGACAUUGUGGGUCCUUGCCACUAGUUGUGGCUUUGUCUAGAGGACUGGUUGUCUUGAGGCAAAUUGCCCCCUUUGGGGUAUUUUUACAAACAAUUUCCCAAAAUGGGGUUGUUUU